UACAGAGGUCCCAAGCAUUGUUCGGAUUCACUGGGCGUAAAGGGUGCGUAGGCGGUCGGGUAAGUCUGAUGUGAAAUCUCACAGCUUAACUGUGAAACUGCAUUGGAUACUAUCCGGCUCGAGGAAUGGAGGGGAGACUGGAAUACUUGGUGUAGCAGUGAAAUGCGUAGAUAUCAAGUGGAACACCAGUGGCGAAGGCGAGUCUCUGGACAUUUCCUGACGCUGAGGCACGAAAGCCAGGGGAGCAAACGGG
This 253-nucleotide ribosomal RNA is filed under the name uncultured bacterium. Its description in RNAcentral is "partial 16S ribosomal RNA". It matches the Rfam family "Bacterial small subunit ribosomal RNA", at positions 524 to 776 of the family's 1533-position model. The record is from RNAcentral.